CCUACGGGCGGCAGCAGUAAGGGAUAUUGGUCAAUGGGGGAAACCCUGAACCAGCAACGCCGCGUGAGGGAAGACGGUUUUCGGAUUGUAAACCUCUGUCCUCUGUGAAGAUGAUGACGGUAGCAGAGGAGGAAGCUCCGGCUAACUACGUGCCAGCAGCCGCGGUAAUACGUAGGGAGCGAGCGUUGUCCGGAUUUACUGGGUGUAAAGGGUGCGUAGGCGGCUUGGCAAGUCAGCUGUGAAAACUACGGGCUUAACCUGUAGACUGCAGUUGAAACUGGUUUUCUUGAGUGAAGUAGAGGUUGGCGGAAUUCCGAGUGUAGCGGUGAAAUGCGUAGAUAUUCGGAGGAACACCGGUGGCGAAGGCGGCCAACUGGGCUUAAACUGACGCUGAGGCUCGAAAGUGUGGGGAGCAAACAGGAUUAGAUACCCCGGUAGUC
RNAcentral lists this ribosomal RNA (440 nucleotides) under uncultured bacterium. Its description in RNAcentral is "partial 16S ribosomal RNA". It matches the Rfam family "Bacterial small subunit ribosomal RNA", at positions 338 to 795 of the family's 1533-position model. The record is from RNAcentral.